Non-coding RNA from Puma concolor (puma), 466 nucleotides. NCBI's taxonomy places the organism in Eukaryota, Metazoa, Chordata, Mammalia, Carnivora, Felidae. The record is from RefSeq and is a predicted model, not a curated record.
GAAGACAUCAGAGUGAUGGGAUGAGAGAACUCAGCGUGCCUUUGCUGACUUUGAAGGUGGAGGAAGGAACUGUGGAGCCAAGGAACACAGAGCCUCUAGAAGCUGGAAGAGGCAAGGAAAAGGAGCCUCCCCUAGAGGCUCCAGAAGGGAAUGCAGCACCGUCAACACCUUCAUUGCCACCCGUGAGACCCAGGCCAAGAAAAGCAAUGCGACGUAGAUCUAACAGAUGCCCUCUACAGAGAUGAGUGAAAAAUCAAGAAUGUCCAACUUUGAAGAAUGCCACCACGACAGAGAGAGACGGUCAAACUUCCACCUGAGAAAAUGGAGUCCGUAGAGCAAGAAGAUUAGGGCUUUGCAACAAGUUAUGACUUGUGUUCACAUUCUUGUGAACGCUGAAUACACAUAAGUAUGAAUAAACCAGAGAUUAUGGAAUCUGAUUGUUGAAAUAAUAAAAGGGCUCCAUCAG